Molecule: long non-coding RNA, 564 nt
Organism: Olea europaea var. sylvestris
Lineage: Eukaryota; Viridiplantae; Streptophyta; Magnoliopsida; Lamiales; Oleaceae
Exons: 2
Source: RefSeq, a predicted model, not a curated record
UGGACCAAGACCCAUUACAAUAAACACGGCCCAUCAACUCAACUGGGCUAAGAAUGUGAGCAUAUUUAUUUGGGCUCAACAAUAGGGACGACGAUUUCACGGAAGUCGGGACCCAGUCCAUGAAGAAUGUAAAAGGUGAAUCAUCAUCAGAAAUGGGAUGAUCGACGAGGGCAAUCUCGUCUGCAAGGGCAUUCACCGUGUGUAGGUAAUCGGCAUGGAUCUAUUGUCCCGCUGAAUCUAGGUAGCAUCCUUGAUUUUAGCACAGGAGUCCAGCCUUGAUUUGUGCAGCCUUGUCUUUAGCUAGAUUUGUGCAGCUUGCUUUGUUUAUUGGUGCUUGAUACAUUCUAAGAUUAGCUUUGAUUUGAGCCUAAGAAUCAUCUUCUUUGUCUUUAGCUUGAGUUAAGGAAUUUUCCUUGAUAGAAAAUUCGAGCCCGUUUGGUUAGGAAAUGUAUGGUCCGAAGAUGACAGCGUCAGUGGUGGCAUUGUCGUAAUUAACAUCUUUCUAUCUGUUAGAAAGACCGCGUAACACAUAUUGAAAUCUGUCUUUAUUGCUUGGCAAUAUAA